This 914-nucleotide ribosomal RNA is filed under the name Bacillus subtilis. Its description in RNAcentral is "bacterial SSU rRNA". It matches the Rfam family "Bacterial small subunit ribosomal RNA", at positions 562 to 1484 of the family's 1533-position model. Lineage: Bacteria; Bacillati; Bacillota; Bacilli; Caryophanales; Bacillaceae. The record is from RNAcentral.
GAAGGGCUCGCAGGCGGUUUCUUAAGUCUGAUGUGAAAGCCCCCGGCUCAACCGGGGAGGGUCAUUGGAAACUGGGGAACUUGAGUGCAGAAGAGGAGAGUGGAAUUCCACGUGUAGCGGUGAAAUGCGUAGAGAUGUGGAGGAACACCAGUGGCGAAGGCGACUCUCUGGUCUGUAACUGACGCUGAGGAGCGAAAGCGUGGGGAGCGAACAGGAUUAGAUACCCUGGUAGUCCACGCCGUAAACGAUGAGUGCUAAGUGUUAGGGGGUUUCCGCCCCUUAGUGCUGCAGCUAACGCAUUAAGCACUCCGCCUGGGGAGUACGGUCGCAAGACUGAAACUCAAAGGAAUUGACGGGGGCCCGCACAAGCGGUGGAGCAUGUGGUUUAAUUCGAAGCAACGCGAAGAACCUUACCAGGUCUUGACAUCCUCUGACAAUCCUAGAGAUAGGACGUCCCCUUCGGGGGCAGAGUGACAGGUGGUGCAUGGUUGUCGUCAGCUCGUGUCGUGAGAUGUUGGGUUAAGUCCCGCAACGAGCGCAACCCUUGAUCUUAGUUGCCAGCAUUCAGUUGGGCACUCUAAGGUGACUGCCGGUGACAAACCGGAGGAAGGUGGGGAUGACGUCAAAUCAUCAUGCCCCUUAUGACCUGGGCUACACACGUGCUACAAUGGACAGAACAAAGGGCAGCGAAACCGCGAGGUUAAGCCAAUCCCACAAAUCUGUUCUCAGUUCGGAUCGCAGUCUGCAACUCGACUGCGUGAAGCUGGAAUCGCUAGUAAUCGCGGAUCAGCAUGCCGCGGUUCCCGGGCCUUGUACACACCGCCCGUCACACCACGAGAGUUUGUAACACCCGAAGUCGGUGAGGUAACCUUUUAGGAGCCAGCCGCCGAAAGUGGGACAGAUGAUUGGGUGAA